UACAGAGGUCCCAAGCGUUUGUUCGGAUUCACUGGGCGUAAAGGGUGCGCAGGUGGCUUGGUAAGUUUGAUGUGAAAGCUCAGGGCUCAACCCUGAAAUGGCAUUGAAUACUAUCGGGCGUUGAGGUUUGGAGGGGGGACUGGAAUUCUCGGUGUAGCAGUGAAAUGCGUAGAUAUCGAGAGGAACACCAGUGGCGAAGGCGAGUCCCUGGACAACACCUGACACUGAGGCACGAAAGCCAGGGGAGCAAACGGG
RNAcentral lists this ribosomal RNA (255 nucleotides) under uncultured bacterium. RNAcentral's name for it is "partial 16S ribosomal RNA". It matches the Rfam family "Bacterial small subunit ribosomal RNA", at positions 524 to 776 of the family's 1533-position model. The record is from RNAcentral.